Molecule: long non-coding RNA, 104 nt
Organism: Salarias fasciatus (jewelled blenny)
Lineage: Eukaryota; Metazoa; Chordata; Actinopteri; Blenniiformes; Blenniidae
Exons: 3
Source: RefSeq, a predicted model, not a curated record
AAACUGUUCAUGUUGUUGCUGUGAAUGUUCAGGGAUUGUUUAACACUGUUAGAUGUCUUUGAUUUGAACAUUAGUUGAUCCACAGAUCAGAUGUGUAAUGUUAU